Molecule: unclassified non-coding RNA, 300 nt
Organism: Callithrix jacchus (white-tufted-ear marmoset)
Lineage: Eukaryota; Metazoa; Chordata; Mammalia; Primates; Cebidae
Rfam family: Metazoan signal recognition particle RNA
About the family: The signal recognition particle (SRP) is a universally conserved ribonucleoprotein. It is involved in the co-translational targeting of proteins to membranes. The eukaryotic SRP consists of a 300-nucleotide 7S RNA and six proteins: SRPs 72, 68, 54, 19, 14, and 9.
Source: Ensembl
GCUGGGCUUGGUGGCGCGUGCCUGUAGUCCCAGCUACUCGGGAGGCUGAGGCGGGAGGAUCGCUUGAGCCCAGGAGUCCUGGGCUGUAGUGCGCUAUGCCGAUUGGGUGUCUGCACUAAGUUCAGCAUCAAUAUGGUGACCUCUCUGGAGCAGGGGACCACCAGGUUGCCUAAGGAGGGGUGAACCGACCCAGGUUGGAAAUGGAGCAGGUCAAAACUCCUGUGCUGAUCAGUAGUGGGAUCGUGCUUGUGAAUAGCCACUGCACUCCAGCCUGGGCAACGUGGCGACACCCUGUCUCCU